AUCCCACCCACAGACUGUUUUUGUUCCUCCUCAUGACACAAACAGUCGUCAGAGCGCGACGCUGAGAACAAACCCACCUGUCAUGACACUCGGGAGUUUUAUUUUCAAAUUGAACUUCAACAUUGUCCGGAUUAGAAUUAGGAUAAACUGGGAUGUUCUGUUCCCAUGAAAUCUCACCAGCCUUGGAUAUUUAGCGAGCUUGAAGAGUCGGGUCAGCAGAACAAUGAGGCGGAAAUAUCUCUGCUGGGCUCACCGUGACUGCAGCUCUACAGCAGGAUGUUCAGGCGACGCUUGGAGCUGACGUCACUCUUCAAUGUCAGAUUACCACAGAUGAAAUAAUCUCUGUGCUGAAGUGGAGCAGACCUGACCUGAACACAGACGGCUACGUCUACUUCUACAGGAACAAACGCUCCUAUGAAAACUACCAACAUCCAUCUUUUCAUGGAAGAGUGAAGCUGAGGGACCCGGAGAUGAAGGAUGGAGACGUUUCUCUGAUCCUGAAGAACAUCACAUUUAAUGACACUGGGAUGUAUGAGUGUCAUAUAGCUGUGAGGAACCCUGUGAGAAAUAAAAGAGCUCACACUGAGAUCAGUCACUUCAUCAACCUCACAGUCACAGGUGAAGUGCAUGAAAACAUGUUUAAGAACCACAUCAUGGAAAGAGAAGAUGCUGAUGGAAACACUGAGGUUGAACAGGUUGAAGCACAGACUAUCCUCAUUGUUGCUGGUGUUGUCAUUGCUGUCAUUGCCCUUGCUGCAGCUGUUGGUUUGUUAGUCUUGCUUCUUAAGAGAAAUAAGAAGCAGCAUCUAACAUCCUACUGAGGAAGAAUCAGUAGGAAGUCCUGCUGAUUACAAAUAAAACAGCCAUAAAGAUUUAAAUAUAUUUAAUUGGAAGUGAAAAUGAUAAGAUCGCAAACUGUUUAUUAGAUGAGAAUUUGUAACCAUUAAAACGAUUAAACACUGUCCUCACAUAUCUAUCAUAAAAAUAUCCUCAUAACUACAUUUAUAAUUAUUAAUACUAGUUAAAUAUAUACACCUAGAGAACAAAUCUUGCUUAUUGAAGCUAGUCUGGGCAUUCAAAGCAGUGGUAAGAAACUUUGCGUGCACACAUUUGCAUGUAUGGAAAUGACACAUAGAUAUUUGUGCUUGCAGGUGCACUGCAAGCAUUUCAUCUACUGCAUAUACAUGGACGCAUUAGAAUUACUAACAUAAUGAAAUGUAUGUGUUUAGACUUUGAAGCAUCCGGAGUAACAAGAAAAUCCAUACAAAAAGGCCACAGCCAAGAUUUGAACCAGGAACUUUCUUGUUGUGAGGCGACAGUGCUAACCGUUAGUGUUAGUGGAUGCUGAUGGAGAUUUGAGGGUGGGGGUGAUGUGUUGUUAAGACUGUUGUAAAAUGUCAGAAAAGGUCAAAUUUGACCCAAACAGAAAGUAAAGGGUUGAGGAAAGAUUAAACACUGACACUUCAGUAACUACAUUUAUCAAGUACACCACACUGAAGACCAUCUCUGCUGUCCAUUAAUGUCAAACCAAGUAAAGUUUUAGACAUUGCAGGUGAUAAUUUUGAGACUACUGCACUUCCUGUGUCACACCAUCUCAUGAUAUCAGACGUUUUAUC
Long non-coding RNA from Oreochromis niloticus (Nile tilapia), 1616 nucleotides. RefSeq lists it as uncharacterized. NCBI's taxonomy places the organism in Eukaryota, Metazoa, Chordata, Actinopteri, Cichliformes, Cichlidae. The transcript is spliced from 3 exons. The record is from RefSeq and is a predicted model, not a curated record.